GUUAAGUUAGCAUAAUAAAUGUAGUAAGCUUAGGACUUAAAGAUUUUACCUUAAUU
RNAcentral lists this transfer RNA (56 nucleotides) under Acerentomon microrhinus. RNAcentral describes it as "tRNA-Leu". The record is from RNAcentral. Lineage: Eukaryota; Metazoa; Arthropoda; Protura; Acerentomata; Acerentomidae.